RNAcentral lists this ribosomal RNA (468 nucleotides) under uncultured bacterium. Its description in RNAcentral is "partial 16S ribosomal RNA". It matches the Rfam family "Bacterial small subunit ribosomal RNA", at positions 28 to 507 of the family's 1533-position model. The record is from RNAcentral.
GAUGAACGCUGGCGGCGUGCUUAACACAUGCAAGUCGAACGGAAAGGCCCUGCUUUUGUGGGGUGCUCGAGUGGCGAACGGGUGAGUAACACGUGUGUAACCUGCCCUUGACUUUGGGAUAACUUCAGGAAACAGGGGCUAAUACCGGAUAGGAGCUCCUGCUGCAUGGUGGGGGUUGGUAAGUUUCGGCGGUUGGGGAUGGACUAGCGGCUUAUCAGCUUGUUGGUGGGGUAGUUGAUUACAAAGGUUUUGACGGGUAGCCGGCAUGAGAGGGUGACCAGCCACAAUGGUACUGAGGUACGGACCAGUCUGCUAUGGUAGGCAGUAGUCGGGAAUAUUGCAGAAUGGGCGGAAGCCUGAUGCAGAAACGUCGCGUGCGUGAAGACGGCCUUCGGGGUGUAAACCUCUGUCUCCUGUGACGAAGCGUGAUUGACGGUAAUGGGUAAAGAAGCACCGGCUAACUACGUG